GGAGAGGUUUUAGUCGGUAGGCGUCCUCCGGGAUGAAUCCGACACUACCCGGUCGCGCGGCCGCCGGGUGUCUUUUGAAGAUUUCCUCUCC
This is a non-coding RNA of Agrilus planipennis (emerald ash borer), 91 nucleotides long. Lineage: Eukaryota; Metazoa; Arthropoda; Insecta; Coleoptera; Buprestidae. The record is from Rfam.